AUGAACGCUGGCGGCGUGCCUAAUCCAUGCACGUCGAGCGAACAGACGAGGAGCUUGCUCCUCUGACGUUAGCGGCGGACGGGUGAGUAACACGUGGAUAACCUACCUAUAAGACUGGGAUAACUUCGGGAAACCGGAGCUAAUACCGGAUAAUAUAUUGAACCGCAUGGUUCAAUAGUGAAAGACGGUUUUGCUGUCACUUAUAGAUGGAUCCGCGCCGCAUUAGCUAGUUGGUAAGGUAACGGCUUACCAAGGCAACGAUGCGUAGCCGACCUGAGAGGGUGAUCGGCCACACUGGAACUGAGACACGGUCCAGACUCCUACGGGAGGCAGCAGUAGGGAAUCUUCCGCAAUGGGCGAAAGCCUGACGGAGCAAUGCCGCGUGAGUGAUGAAGGUCUUCGGAUCGUAAAACUCUGUUAUUAGGGAAGAACAAAUGUGUAAGUAACUAUGCACGUCUUGACGGUACCUAAUCAGAAAGCCACGGCUAACUACGU
This 495-nucleotide ribosomal RNA is filed under the name uncultured bacterium. RNAcentral's name for it is "partial 16S ribosomal RNA". It matches the Rfam family "Bacterial small subunit ribosomal RNA", at positions 29 to 506 of the family's 1533-position model. The record is from RNAcentral.